This 2606-nucleotide unclassified non-coding RNA is filed under the name uncultured fungus. RNAcentral describes it as "sequence contains 18S rRNA gene, ITS1, 5.8S rRNA gene, ITS2, 28S rRNA gene". The stretch from base 1666 to 2606 matches the Rfam family "Eukaryotic large subunit ribosomal RNA", at positions 1 to 961 of the family's 3401-position model. Lineage: Eukaryota; Fungi. The record is from RNAcentral.
AGAUGGAUCAUUCAUAAUGUGUCGCUAGUGCUGUGGUUCGAUUUGAGACAACACAAUGACAAGUGGUUCGAUUUGAGACAACACAAUGACAAGUGGUUCGAUUUGAGACAACACAAUGACAAGUGGUUCGAUUUGAGACAACACAUGACAAGUGGUUCGAUUUGAGACAACACAAUGAUUUGUGUAUUACUGAGAAGUCGAAAGGCUGUGGUUUGAACUGAGAUACUGGAUUGGCUUGUGGUGACAGUGUAACAACAGACUGACUUGUGGUGGCGAAUGAGACAACGAAACGAUUGUGGUGCAUACUGAGACAACGCAAGGCUAUGGUGCAUACUGAAACAACGCAAGGCUAUGGUGCAUACUGAGACAACGCAAUGCUGUGGUGAACACUGGGACAACGAAAUGACUUGUGGUAACAAUGAGACAACGCAAUGCUGUGGUGAACACUGAGACAACAAACUGACUUGUGGUGAAGACUGAGACAACGAAAUGCUGUGGUGAACACUGAGACAACAAACUGACUUGUGGUGAUAGUGCAACAGCUGAACGACUUGUGGUGAAAACUGAGAAAACAAAGUGACUUGUGGUGAAGACUGAGACAACGCAAUGCUGUGGUGAACACUGAGACAACGCAAUGCUGUGGUGAUAAUGCAACAACAAACUGACUUGUGGUGAACACUGAAACAACUGAACGACUUGUGGUGAAGACUGAAACAACGCAAUGCUGUGGUGAUGCAUGAAAACAACUGAACGACUUGUGGUGAAGACUGAAACAACGCAAUGCUGUGGUGAUGCAUGAAACAACUGAACGACUUGUGGUGAAGACUGAAACAACGCAAUGCUGUGGUGAUGCAUGAAACAACUGAACGACUUGUGGUGAAGACUGAAACAACGCAAUGCUGUGGUGAUGCAUGAAACAACUGAACGACUUGUGAUGAAGACUGAAACAACGCAAUGCUGUGGUGUUGACUGCGUCAACAGAAUGACUUGUGGUGAAUACUGAAACAACGAAACGACUGUGGUGAUGACUGCGUCAACAGAAUGACUUGUGGUGAAUACUAAACAACGAAACGACUGUGGUGAAUACUGAGAAAACAAAGUGACAAGUGGUGGCAAUGAAACAACUGAAUGACUUGUGGUUACGACUGCGAAAACAAAGUGACGAGUGGUGAAACAUGAAACAACAAAGUGACAAGUGGUGAAACAUGAAACAACAAAGUGACAAGUGGUGAAACAUGAAACAACAAAGUGACAAGUGGUGACAAUGCAUCAACACAGUGACAAGUGGUAAUAUCCUAAGCGAACAGAAAGUUUAACGGUACAAGUCAUGUAAGAAUCUGUCAGAGUGCAUGUGGUCGCUAAUCCUAAAUUUUAAGAGAUAAUUCCAUUUACGCCUCUCAGCGAUGGAUGUCUCGGAUCUCGUAACGAUGAAGAACGCAGCUAGCUGCGAGAUGCAGUGUGACAUGCGAACUUCUGUGAAUCAUUAGAUUUUUGAACGCAAAAGGUACUUCUAAAUUCAUUUAGGAGUAUGUUCACUUCAGUGCUUUUAUAUAUUUGUUAACCUAAUUGGUGGUUAACGUGAAUAGUUACUGUGAUUGCGGUAACUGAAAGCUAAUGAUAAUGGUUUUUAGGUGACGCUUUGAAAACUGUUAUUGCAUUAUUAAUAAGCCUGAAUUUGAGCAAGUGUACCCGCUGAACUUAAGCAUAUUAUUAAGCGGAGGAAAAGAAACUAACUAGGAUUCCCUAGUAACUGCGAGUGAACAGGGAAGAGCUCAAACUGGAAAUCGGCAGUUUUCUGUCGAAUUGUAGUCUCAUGAAAUGCAGCCUGUAAAUGUUGUGAAUUAAGUCUCUUGGAAAAGAGUACCAAAGAGGGUGAAAGUCCCGUCUUUAUUCACAACUAUUUACUUUCGGUGCAUUUUCAAAGAGUCGCGUUCUUUGAGAUUGGAGCGCUAAGUGGGUGAUAAACUUCAUCUAAAGCUAAAUACUAACGAGAUUCCGAUAGCGUACAAGUACCGUGAGGGAAAGUUGAAAGAACUUUGAAAAGAGAGUUAAAAGGAACUGAAAUUGCUGAAAGGGAAGUGGAGAGAUUCAACGGUUUAGCAAAUCUUUUGCAUGCUUGGAUAUUGCAUCCUUCAGUGUGCAGUCGAGAUUUGCGGUGACUCUGGAGGCGAUUGUACAAGCAGAUUACGUUAUUGAUAGGUUCUAUAAUUAGGGCCAUGUCUUUGAUGUCUUCAGCCUGUGUGAUCUAUGUAAUUCUAACUCAGCAUUCAUUGUCGAGUUAUACACUUCCAGACAUGUUGAUUCUCUCCUCCCCGUCUUGAAACACGGACCAAGGAGUCUACUUUAUGUGCAAGUACAAGGGUGGAAAACCUAUGUGCGAAAUGAAAGUAAUAGUUAGGAUGGUUAUUUCCUGCACUGACACUAGGCCACUGAGUCGAAGUUGAGCACAUAGAAUAGGACCCGAAAGAUGGUGAACUAUGCCUGUGUAGGAUGAAGCUAGAGGAAACUCUGGUGGAAGUUCGUAGCGAUACUGACGUGCAAAUCGUUCGUCAAACAUGGGUAUAGGGGCGAAAGACCAAUCGAACCAUCUAGUAGCUGGUUCAACC